RNAcentral lists this long non-coding RNA (773 nucleotides) under Meleagris gallopavo (turkey). RNAcentral describes it as "lncRNA (ENSMGAG00000022383.1)". Lineage: Eukaryota; Metazoa; Chordata; Aves; Galliformes; Phasianidae. The record is from RNAcentral.
GAAUCUGCAUCCUCUCUUUCAAGCUAGCAUUGUGUUUCUAAAAGGAAGGUGGGAAGUUUACUCCACUGAAACAUUCUCAGGGCAAGCACUUCUUCAACAACAAGACUGAAGCAUAAAUGUGCCUUGUUUUCUCCCAGAUGUUACAUCCUACUUCAGAACAAAUUCCAAAACACAGGUUUCCCUGGAAUGUCUAUCACAGAAAGACAAGGAAAUGGAAGAUCCUUCUGCUGCAGCAAGUAAUGGGAGAGCUGGAAAUACAGCUAUGUGUCAUGAACUAGAAGAAAAGGCACUAUGGUUACAGCAACAGAGAAAUGAGGGAAGUGAAGUGACUCUCCUGACACACUGCAGUAGGAGCCACGCUCUUCCUGAAAUGUAAAAUCAGAGUGAACUGUCUGAAGUUAAUACUACAAGUACACAAACAUCCAAAUUGCCUAAUCUUACCUGAAUCUGAACUAACACUUCCAUUGUCACCUUUGGGUUAUCUCACUUGAGACAGAUCUAAUUGUUGUAAGUAUCUCCAUGCAUACUCAGCUACUUUUGUGUUUAGAGGUCAGUUUAGAGUGUACAGCACAAUUUACUUUAAAUUUUGAGCAUAGGUGGUUCAUUAAGGGAUGUUCUGUGUAGUUAUGAGUAACCACAGGUACCUAUUAUUCUAUACUCAAAUGCAUAUUAGUAUAGACACAUAACUGUGUUUGGUUGUUGUUUUUUUUUUUUAACCAGUAUUUCAUAAAAGGAUGUAUCAUAUUAUAUUAAAAUGAUUGACAAUACAAAUG